AACGAACGCUGGCGGCAGGCUUAACACAUGCAAGUCGAACGGGCAUAGCAAUAUGUCAGUGGCAGACGGGUGAGUAACACGUGGGAACCUUCCUAGAGGUACGGAACAACGCAGGGAAACUUGUGCUAAUACCGUAUACGCUCGAGAGAGGAAAGAUUUAUCGCCUUUAGACGGGCACGCGUAGGAUUAGGUAGUUGGUGAGGUAACGGCUCACCAAGCCUACGAUCCUUAGCUGAUCUGAGAGGAUGAUCAGCCACACUGGGACUGAGACACGGCCCAGACUCCUACGGGAGGCAGCAGUGGGGAAUCUUGGACAAUGGGCGCAAGCCUGAUCCAGCCAUGCCGCGUGAGUGAAGAAGGCCUUCGGGUUGUAAAGCUCUUUUACCAGGGACGAUAAUGACGGUACCUGGAGAAUAAGCCCCGGCUAACUUCGUGCCAGCAGCCGCGGUAA
RNAcentral lists this ribosomal RNA (451 nucleotides) under uncultured bacterium. RNAcentral's name for it is "partial 16S ribosomal RNA". It matches the Rfam family "Bacterial small subunit ribosomal RNA", at positions 29 to 523 of the family's 1533-position model. The record is from RNAcentral.